UGAAAAGAAAGUGUCACAGUGAUAUGGAAUCACAGGCAUUAGAAUUUGUGCUCAUUCAUUAGGGAAGGAAGACACAUUAAACCAAGGCAGCCUGGAGACAGAGACUGAAUCACUCAUAAGUCUAGUUAUUUUAGUUAUUUCCUUAUCCUUGAGAAUACCGUUAGUCUGUGUUUCAGUGUCAGUCUGAGGGACAGUUCUCCAUUUAACUGAAUGAAUCAGCAUGUCAUGAAGGAGUUGGAGUGAGCAUCCCAUUAGAGGACUGAACUGUGUCAAGAACAACGGUUCCCUGGAGGAAUGCUAAACAGAGGAUCUCCUUCCCCAUGGGUUCCUUAGCAAUGCAAGACUCACUGGUUGGAAAAAAUUAGAAGUUAUUUGUUUUGGUAAAAAAAUAAGAAAAAUAAAAGCAAUAAAUUCCAUGUUGCAGGCACUGAUAUUAGAAAAGAAAUCUAGCAGGAAUAAGGAUGAAAAAGAAAUUGCAUAUUGUGAACUGCAUUCCCAAAUGAGGCAUUUUUUAAAAAGGUGGAAAGAUCAGAGGACAUGCAGAAAGAAGACCCAAGUAGAUGUCAUUCAGCCAAAUAAAAAAUUUUUAAAAAGGAAAAUAAAAAUUGAAGUCAGAGCCUCAGUUUGCCUUGAAGAGAAAAUAACAUCCGAAGG
This is a long non-coding RNA of Columba livia (rock pigeon), 654 nucleotides long. RefSeq lists it as uncharacterized. The record is from RefSeq and is a predicted model, not a curated record. The transcript has 3 exons. Lineage: Eukaryota; Metazoa; Chordata; Aves; Columbiformes; Columbidae.